Capra hircus (goat) is the source of this 2709-nucleotide long non-coding RNA. RefSeq lists it as uncharacterized. The record is from RefSeq and is a predicted model, not a curated record. Lineage: Eukaryota; Metazoa; Chordata; Mammalia; Artiodactyla; Bovidae. The transcript has 2 exons.
CCUCUGUCCAUGGAAUUUUCCAGGCAAGAAUACUGGAAUGGGUUGCCAUUUAGUAAAUGUUUAAGGCUUUAUGGCCAUACCGUCUCUGUUUCAACUGUGUAACUACUCUGCCUCUGCAGCAAAUAGUAGUUUGCUCUUAACUCCCCUAACAUGGGGUGUUAGGGUGAACAGCAUGGGGUGUUACGGUCACCAACACUCCCUGGCAGUCAAAUUCUGUGAGUAACUUCCUCUGUAUAUAUGUGAGCUUCCACUGUAGCUUGUAGAUCGUAUUGAGUGGUUUUGAAUCUGAGGAUUUAACCAACAGCAGACCGUGUAGCACUGUAGCAUUUCAUAUUUUUAAAAAAUCUACAUAUUAAGUGAACCCAGGCAGUUCAAGCCCAUGUUAUUCAAGGGUGAAAUGUACUUUAGAAUGAAUAGGUAUAGCUAUGUUCCAAUGAGACUAUUUACAAAAACAAGCAGACUUCUGGAUUUAGCUUGUGGUUUGUUAACUACUGCUAUAUGGCCUCAGAGACUUCUGCAUUUACUUAGUGGCUGAGCACAAAGAAGGCAUAUCUGCUUCAUGCGGCCAGAAAUGACAAACAGCAUUUUCUUUACUGUAUCACUGGUGAAAAGGAAGCCCCAACUAGGUAAAAGUCCGCCAGGGUUGGGGAGGUUGGGAGGCUGGGAAGUGUAGUCCUUAGCUGGACAGGGAGCACCCACAACCCUCAAGCAGGGAGGAUGAAGGUGGGGGUUGGGGUUGUGAUUAGCUGUCUCCAUCACAGACUGUAUUCUCCUGGAGUUUCUUUUUCCAUCAACGUAUUUAUUCUAUAAUAAUCAUAUAAGGUUACCAUAUACUAUCUAAUAGGAUUUUUUUUUAAAGAUCUAGAACACCUCUUUUUUUUUCCCCCAAAUACAAUCUUAAGAGAAAACCUAGUAUAUAUAAAACACCAAAGUAGAAGCACUCUAGGAUUGAAGCAGGAAUGCAUAUGUGGAUGUGGGGAGGAAUAGAGUAUUAGCAACUCAGCUUUUCCCUUGACAGUUGUUGGUCUUGGGGGUGCUUCUGUGGGAAACAUGCAAUCAUAAUGACAAGAUUAAUGCUAUUAUAAUAUCAUACAGUCCAUAACGUAAUAAAAAUCCUCAUUUCAAGGGUAAUUCACUGAGUUACUGUUUAUUUUAAUUCACCUGAAAUUUUACUCCUUUCCAAUUACUCUUUACUUUGAGUAACUAAAAUCUCUCUAGGAUACCAUUUAUGGGGCUAUUAAGGAAUUUAUUAUAAUAAGGGACUUGACUCAUUCUUUUCCUUGUCUGCUUCUUCUGCUUAACGUAAGUUGAAAAUAUUUUGAAUUUUCAAUUUCCUGUAGAAAAAUCAAAGAUAUUAAGCUACUCUUAAUCUCUUUAUACCCACCACUGCUUCAAACACAUAAAAGGAUAUUCUAGUAUUAAAUCAGGUUUGAACUUUCUGUUCUUUCACUUUUUUUUUUUUUGCUUCAGAGUAAUGAAUUUCCUUUUAGGAUUCCAGCUUUAUUAAGAACACCAUCUUUAGAAGACAUAUGACAUAUGGUGGCACUAUUCUUAGAUGAAAUAAAGAUACGACUAAAAUUUCCCUGGGACAGGUUUUAUCAUAAAAAAUGAAAAUGUCGGCCUAAAUGAAGACUACUGGCAAGGGGAGGGGUUGAAGCCUUUCAGGAGAAUGUGAUGCUUCACUAUUGCAUGAUCGUACUACGUAUAUAGCCAAUUCCUAUUUAUUGAGCACACACUCUGCAAAGCAGCCUGAGAUGAAGGACAUAAGAAACCUUUAAUCUAGUAGGAAGGACAAAACGAAUAAUAAUACCUUAUACGCAGAUAGCUGUUGAGUUGAUGAAACAAAAAGAGCCACCAUGAAAAAACCAUUUGGUGAGAAACGUACAAAGCGGCGUAUGCAUACGCGUAUGUGUUUAUCCGUUCAUUCUGUAACUCAUUCACUCACCAAAUAGUUAUGCAGUGGCUACUAAAGGUGCUGUGCUGCAUACUGAAGCGGUGGAGAUGAGCACGGGCCUGCUGGCUUCACAGCAGUCCCUGUGAGUCCGCUCACUGGUUGGACCAGCAGCAGCAUCACCAGGGAAUUCAUCAGGAUGUUCUCAAGCCCCAUCUCUUUUUUUUUUCAUAAUUUUAUUUAUUUUUGGCUGUGCUGGGUCUUCACUGCUGUGCAGGUUUCUCUCUAGCUGUGGCAAGUGGAGGCUCCUCUCUCACUGUGUUGUGCAGCCUUCUUCUUGCAGGAGCUUUUCUUGUUGCAGAGCACGGCUCGAGGGUGCUCGGGUCUCCGCAGUUGCGGCUCAUGGGGUCUAGAGCACAAGCUCAGUAGUUGCGGCACACAGGCUGAGUUGCUCGGGGCACGUGCGAUCUUCCCGGACCAGGGAUUGAACCCCUGUCUCCUGCACUGGCAGUCGGAUUCUUUACCACUGAGCCACCUGGGAAGCUUGCAAGCCCCAUCUUUACAGGUGGAGAAGUUAAUUGCAUGCUGCCCACAAGAAGGCAGACCCCAGACCAGUUGGAACCAGAAGGCUGAUGAUGCUGACUCUGGAUUACCUCUCCACCAGCCACUCAGAAGGACGUCCACAAGCGGACCAUGCCCUGAUCCUUGAACACCAUGAUUCCUCACUACCCCUACUAGGGCAGGACACCCAGUCUUGAGGGCAUUUGCCCGCUAUGACCCCCUUUGCCUGGCCCAGCAAUAAAGCUAUUUUUGUUUUA